UGUCCUCCCUGAAUGAAGAACUGCUGGGGGGCGUCGCCUGGUGAGGCGGCACACUGCAGGAUGGUAGCCCCAGGCUGCGGGGUCAGAGAUUGACCCCCAUGAAGGGCCUGGGCUCCGGUGGCACUCAGCUGGAUGGUUCUACCCUGAGCGAUGGAGACUGUGGAAGAGGCGGCGUUGCCCAAGUGGCUCUUUACUGAUUAGCUCCAAGGAGCAGUCGUGUAUUUUAGUGUGGUUGUAUAGUUACUCUGACAGUACACUGACUGUAUUGUCCUGAGCUGGUCUGGUAGAUGGUCGGCGUGGAAGAAGAGUUCACAUUUGCUACCGCCGCCUCCUCCUCCUCUUCCUCCUCGUCAAUUUUGGCAACGGCCGGAGAAUCCAAUGAGAGCUCUUUGAGGAUUUUCCUAUGCAAAAAGAAAAGGUUAGGUGAUGAGGAUGUCAUCACUUGUGGUGAUGUACAACGUUCUCACCGAUAAGAUGGACGUCUGGAGAGGAGCUCCCGUCUCUUGUGUUCUUACCUCAUGAGUUGGAGCUUGCGGUGACUGGAUGACUGAGGUCUGAGUCCUCCUGCUCGGAGAAACCUGCCAGUACAUAUGGAAAGGAGAAAGAAGCUCAGCUAUUGGCCCAGCAUGACAGCAGGUGGCCUGUGAUUCAACAGCAAGUGGAUGAAGUUGUCCAUGGAGGUUUCCAGAUGGUCCAGCAGGGGUGUCCUGGGGACAACCUCCCUGACAACAGGCAGCCAAAUGUGAUCCGCAGCGGAGGACUGUUGCUCAGAAAUUGAGCGCGGCAUAAAGCACAACACAAUGACAUGGUGGUAACACCAUCAAAAGGGCCUUCAAUGUGGUCUUUACAGCUUAACAAGAUCACUUCACAGCUGCUGCAAAACGCUAACGUGGAGUCAUUGUGGGACAUUACACAGCUGAUAUGUCUCACAAGUCAACCCAGGACAACUCAUUUGAAAAUUUAACAACGCUGAUGUGAAAUACAGUGGUUAUAUGUUUAAAUAAAGAAGAAUGGUGUGAUUUCUCAAAGAAUGGGAAUCCGAAACGUGCGUUACUAUAGCAACAUGACUCUCAGAGGCAGUUGGUAAUCAUUGUGCACCACCAGGGGGCGCUACAGACUGACAUUGG
Molecule: long non-coding RNA, 1127 nt
Organism: Dunckerocampus dactyliophorus (ringed pipefish)
Lineage: Eukaryota; Metazoa; Chordata; Actinopteri; Syngnathiformes; Syngnathidae
Exons: 3
Source: RefSeq, a predicted model, not a curated record